CCUACGGGUGGCAGCAGUGAGGAAUAUUGGUCAAUGGACGAGAGUCUGAACCAGCCAAGUAGCGUGAAGGAUGACUGCCCUAUGGGUUGUAAACUUCUUUUAUAUGGGAAUAAAAUGUUCCACGUGUGGGAUUUUGUAUGUACCAUAUGAAUAAGGAUCGGCUAACUCCGUGCCAGCAGCCGCGGUAAUACGGAGGUUCCGAGCGUUAUCCGGAUUUAUUGGGUUUAAAGGGAGCGUAGGUGGAUUGUUAAGUCAGUUGUGAAAGUUUGCGGCUCAACCGUAAAAUUGCAGUUGAAACUGGCAGUCUUGAGUACAGUAGAGGUGGGCGGAAUUCGUGGUGUAGCGGUGAAAUGCGUAGAUAUCACGAAGAACUCCGAUUGCGAAGGCAGUUCACUGGACUGCAAAUGACACUGAGGCUCGAAAGUGUGGGUAUCAAACAGGAUUAGAUACCCUGGUAGUC
This 460-nucleotide ribosomal RNA is filed under the name uncultured bacterium. Its description in RNAcentral is "partial 16S ribosomal RNA". It matches the Rfam family "Bacterial small subunit ribosomal RNA", at positions 338 to 795 of the family's 1533-position model. The record is from RNAcentral.